Long non-coding RNA from Pristis pectinata (smalltooth sawfish), 344 nucleotides. RefSeq lists it as uncharacterized. The record is from RefSeq and is a predicted model, not a curated record. NCBI's taxonomy places the organism in Eukaryota, Metazoa, Chordata, Chondrichthyes, Rhinopristiformes, Pristidae. The transcript has 3 exons.
CUUUAAUUUGCUUCCCCCUCCCAGAAGAGUUUCCUCCCCUCACCUUGCUGCUUUCACUGCAGCUGUAGAGGAACGCAGUCUACAUGCAGCUGGGACUGGGAUAUGUGCAGAACCUUCACACAAGGCACGCUUAAGAACAAGUCUGCCCAGAAUAUCAAUAAGAAAUGCCAAGUACCCUAGAAGGAGGAAGUAAAGAAAAAUCAGGAUGCACUUCGUAAUGCGUUGGUGACACCAUUGAACAGAAUGGUCUUGUCGACCGUCUGCCUGUCCUCCCUGGUGUAAAACUGAGGGAUAGAUACCAAGCCUCUUUCUCUAGCAUGUCAGAUGUCUGCUGCAGGGCUCAA